GUUUGUCAUGGAAAUGUAAGAGU
This 23-nucleotide non-coding RNA is filed under the name Cricetulus griseus (Chinese hamster). The record is from RNAcentral. Lineage: Eukaryota; Metazoa; Chordata; Mammalia; Rodentia; Cricetidae.